GUGCUUGCUUUGGCAGCACAUAAACUAAAAUUGGAACGAUACAGAGAAGAUUAGCAUGGCCCCUGAGCAAGGAUGACACAAAUUCGUGAAGCGUUCCCUAUUUUU
Molecule: small nuclear RNA, 105 nt
Filed under: Peromyscus maniculatus bairdii (prairie deer mouse)
Lineage: Eukaryota; Metazoa; Chordata; Mammalia; Rodentia; Cricetidae
Source: RNAcentral